AUGAACGCUGGCGGCGUGCUUAACCCAUGCCAGUCGAACGGAAAGGCCCAAGCUUGCUUGGGUACUCGAGUGGCGAACGGGUGAGUAACACGUGGGUGAUCUGCCCUGCACUUCGGGAUAAGCCUGGGAAACUGGGUCUAAUACCGGAUAGGACGAUGGUUUGGAUGCCAUUGUGGAAAGUUUUUUCGGUGUGGGAUGAGCUCGCGGCCUAUCAGCUUGUUGGUGGGGUAAUGGCCUACCAAGGCGUCGACGGGUAGCCGGCCUGAGAGGGUGUACGGCCACAUUGGGACUGAGAUACGGCCCAGACUCCUACGGGAGGCAGCAGUGGGGAAUAUUGCACAAUGGGCGCAAGCCUGAUGCAGCGACGCCGCGUGGGGGAUGACGGCCUUCGGGUUGUAAACUCCUUUCGCUAGGGACGAAGCGUUUUGUGACGGUACCUGGAGAAGAAGCACCGGCUAACUACGUG
This 466-nucleotide ribosomal RNA is filed under the name uncultured bacterium. RNAcentral's name for it is "partial 16S ribosomal RNA". It matches the Rfam family "Bacterial small subunit ribosomal RNA", at positions 29 to 507 of the family's 1533-position model. The record is from RNAcentral.